This 468-nucleotide ribosomal RNA is filed under the name uncultured bacterium. RNAcentral's name for it is "partial 16S ribosomal RNA". It matches the Rfam family "Bacterial small subunit ribosomal RNA", at positions 28 to 507 of the family's 1533-position model. The record is from RNAcentral.
GACGAACGCUGGCGGCGUGCUUAACACAUGCAAGUCGAACGGAAAGGCCCUGCUUUUGUGGGGUGCUCGAGUGGCGAACGGGUGAGUAACACGUGAGUAACCUGCCCUUGACUUUGGGAUAACUUCAGGAAACUGGGGCUAAUACCGGAUAGGAGCUCCUGCUGCAUGGUGGGGGUUGGAAAGUUUCGGCGGUUGGGGAUGGACUCGCGGCUUAUCAGCUUGUUGGUGGGGUAGUGGCUUACCAAGGUUUUGACGGGUAGCCGGCCUGAGAGGGUGACCGGCCACAUUGGGACUGAGAUACGGCCCAGACUCCUACGGGAGGCAGCAGUGGGGAAUAUUGCACAAUGGGCGGAAGCCUGAUGCAGCAACGCCGCGUGCGGGAUGACGGCCUUCGGGUUGUAAACCGCUUUCGCCUGUGACAAAGCGUGAGUGACGGUAAUGGGUAAAGAAGCACCGGCUAACUACGUG